Molecule: ribosomal RNA, 506 nt
Filed under: uncultured bacterium
Lineage: Bacteria
Description: partial 16S ribosomal RNA
Rfam family: Bacterial small subunit ribosomal RNA
Source: RNAcentral
AGUGAACGCUGGCGGUAGGCCUAACACAUGCAAGUCGAACGGCAGCACAAGAGAGCUUGCUCUCUGGGUGGCGAGUGGCGGACGGGUGAGGAAUACAUCGGAAUCUACUCUGUCAUGGGGGAUAACGUAGGGAAACUUACGCUAAUACCGCACACGACCUACGGGUGAAAGCAGGGGACCUUCGGGCCUUGCGCGAUUGAAUGAGCCGAUGUCGGAUUAGCUAGUUGGCGGGGUAAAGGCCCACCAAGGCGACGAUCCGUAGCUGGUCUGAGAGGAUGAUCAGCCACACUGGAACUGAGACACGGUCCAGACUCCUACGGGAGGCAGCAGUGGGGAAUAUUGGACAAUGGGCGCAAGCCUGAUCCAGCCAUACCGCGUGGGUGAAGAAGGCCUUCGGGUUGUAAAGCCCUUUUGUUGGGAAAGAAAUCCAGCUGGCUAAUACCCGGUUGGGAUGACGGUACCCAAAGAAUAAGCACCGGCUAACUUCGUGCCAGCCGCCGCGGUAA